GGGUCCAUUUCCUCAAGAUGGACAUGGCCCUUUGCAUAUGCUUGUUCUGGCAUACUGCUGCUCUGCAGUGUGCUUUGGUGUCCAUUGGAUACUGGGAAGCUCUUCUGGGUGGCUGCACAGCUCAGUUCUGUCUGAGCAGGGCUGCAGACACUGCUCCGCUGAGUGCUCCCCUCCAAGAUCUCAGAGGAGAAAUGGGCUGAGCUCUUGCGGACUGAACUCAUAACAACUGGUGCUGCUACGUGUUGUGGACCCCUCACUGGAGUCUCCAGGGUCAGCUGACAGCAAGAGAAACCCUUGGAAGCACGAGGAGCCACGGGGAUGGGUGUGGUGCCAUGAAUAACGGUAUGUAAUGCAUGUGCAAGGGGCUCUGGAAAAUACCUGAGAACACCAGAGAUAACAGCAGGAACUCUGUAUUUAUCUCUGAGCUGGAAAGAAUUGCUCGUUCGCUUCACUAUGUGGUCCCAGCAGAGCCAGCUUCUGAGAAAGAUAUAUGCAAGGUCAGACAGAUAGCUAACCUGCCUUUCAGAGAGCUCUUCCUCCCCUGGCUGUUUCAUUAGUUUGUGAGCUAAGAUUUUAUUAAAUGAAGGCAUGAUGAAUACAAGAUUUUAAAACAUUUGGUAGUGAAAGAUCUAUCCAUCUAUCCAGUCUUCACUUCAAGGUCAGUAACUGGAAGAGCCUCCAGAACUGUAAGGAAAUCUGGGAUGGAGAAGGUCACUGCAGGUGCUCUGGGCAGCUCUUGCCAGGGCACAGGGGAGCUUGCCAACACCAUCAAGUUUGAACCUCCUCCCCAGCCCAGGAGCACCUUCUGGCUGUGAGCCCUGCCCAGGCAUCUGUGGGGUGGAGAUGGGAAUUGAGGAGAGUCUCAGAGCACAUCUGCACAGAGCUGCCAGCAGCGGCAGCCUGGGGGAAAAUGUCACUCAGCAUGUUGGAGAAGUGCCCUUGCCUCAUGAAGGAGCUUUCAUCUUGGGUUCUUCACAAAGACCUGCAUCUCAGCUGCUGCCAGUGUUCACCUUCCCUCCCUGUGCUCCUAGUACAGCCUUUUAGAGCAUUAUGACACUAUUUCUAAGGCUUGAUUCUGUCAGGAAUUGCCCUGGUGUUUCCCUGCUCCUCAUUUCCCUCAGCUUGGCUGCACUCUCAGCUGUAACUUUUGUCCUCAGCCUUCCAGAUUCUUCCCCUAGCUCCCUUCUACUGCCCUCACACAUGGAAGAACAAAAUGUUUCUUCUUUAAAUGUAAUUGGGGAAAAUUCUCCUAAUAAGUCAAGGUAAAUACAUUCUUCCCCACAUAAACAUGUUGUCCUGUGCUUCACUUAUAUUUUCUCCCUUUUGACUGGGUCAUGGCAGUUCUAAGAGACUGCAGCCUCCCACAGAGGAGCAGAUGUAGCCAUUGGGCACUUGGUAGUCAAAAACCAGUGGCAAAAAGCAGAGAUGUGGUGACCUUGGGAGGACUGCAGAUAUCUGGACAGCAUGGAGCCCAAUAAGGCUGAACCUAAUAAAUGAUGUCAUCCCAAAAUAUUGUGUGCUGAGACAUCACCGAAGUCUCUGCCUCUGUGAUAUACCUUCACUGCAAACCAGAUAAUCUGUCUGCUGACACCAGAGAAGAAUUUUAAUUCUUUCUCUCAGCAGCACCUAGGACAUUUUUGAUGCUAUUGUAAUACAAGGCUUAAGUUAGGUCUCAUGCUAUGUUAUCAUAACCUGUUAGACCCAGGCUAUUUUCUGUAUUUAUUUAUCAGUUUACGUGAAGGAAACUUAGUUUGUUAAGAAACUUCUACUCUUAUUUCUGUACAUUUAUUCCCACUGUCAGUUCUACAACAAAAUGCUGUAAUUCCUAUGAUUUUAUCUGUGGUGCUAAAGGCCUGGAUUUAAUAGAGGUCUCCAGGGAGUGAUUGUUAUCCUACCUAAGGAAGGAAGAGCACACUUUAGUGAGAAGAAAUGUCAUAAUUAGCUCUCAGGUCUAGUUAAUUUAAGAACAAGAUGGAGGGUUUAUGGAGUGUUUAUACGGUCGUAGCUUUCCUGAGGCAAUAUUUAAGUGCAGUGAAUAACAGAAGUAAUUACAGAGGUAAUUCAUACACCAUUUAAAAAAA
Prinia subflava (tawny-flanked prinia) is the source of this 2081-nucleotide long non-coding RNA. RefSeq lists it as uncharacterized. The record is from RefSeq and is a predicted model, not a curated record. The transcript has 3 exons. Lineage: Eukaryota; Metazoa; Chordata; Aves; Passeriformes; Cisticolidae.